Molecule: long non-coding RNA, 952 nt
Filed under: Marmota monax (woodchuck)
Lineage: Eukaryota; Metazoa; Chordata; Mammalia; Rodentia; Sciuridae
Source: RNAcentral
UCUGAGAGGCUGCUAUUUUCAGGGCAGCCUGCUGGGUCUGGAGGGAGAGAGUGUAAACACCAUCCAGUGUUUGACUUCAAGUGUGUCUUGGCUGGUCGGGGGAACAAAAUGCCCAAGGUGGAGGUUGGGAGAGAAGGAGACUGGAGACCGGUAGUAUUCACCAAGAAUAAGACACUUGAACCUGGCUUUGAAAAACAGAUCAUGGGGCUUGGGUAUAGCUCAAUGGGAGAUCACAAGCUUAGCAUGCUCAAGGCUCUGUGGGUUCCAUCCCCAGCACCCAGCAACACACACACACACACACACACACACACAUGAUUUUCCAAGUAGAAAAAGCAAAGGGAAGAUCAAGAGCAAAGAAUGGACAGGGCUGGGUCUGUAGCUCAGUGGUAGAGCACUUGCCCUAUAUAUCAAGGUCUUGGGUUUGAUCCCCAGCGCUGAGGGUAGAAAGGAAGGAAGGAAGCAAGCAAGCAAGCACAUGUGUUUUAUUGCAGUAGGCCCAGCACACUCCACUACUUUUUCCCCUUGCUUUAAUGUCCUCAUUUGCAAAAUGGGAAUAAAAUACUUCCCAUCUCAUAGGCUCAUGGUGAAGACUGAAAGUUCAGAGAAAGAUGAGAAAUACAAGACCAGCAACCCUGCUAGGGGGCUUCCAGGUACCUCUUAGAUCCUUCAUGCUGGACUGAGAUCUAUAUGGCCUAUUGUUCUAUAGACAUAUGUAAAUAUGUAUAUUAUGGAAAUGACUAGAAAUAUGUAUGUAGCCAUAUAAAUAUGUUUGUGUAUAAAACAUGGAAAUUUGUUCAUAUACAUAUGUGGCUUUAUCUGCCUGACUUGAUGGUCUCACCAUAUUCCUAGAAUGAGAUACAUAUUUAAUAUACAUGUCUAAAUACACAAAUAGAAAAAGAAAUAUUUCUAGUAAAUAAACCAUAUGAAAAUGUAUCUAUUUAUAAAUACCCAC